Molecule: ribosomal RNA, 50 nt
Filed under: Silene heuffelii
Lineage: Eukaryota; Viridiplantae; Streptophyta; Magnoliopsida; Caryophyllales; Caryophyllaceae
Description: partial 28S ribosomal RNA
Source: RNAcentral
GCGACCCCAGGUCAGGCGGGGCUACCCGCUGAAUUUAAGCAUAUCAAUAA